This 216-nucleotide ribosomal RNA is filed under the name uncultured bacterium. RNAcentral describes it as "partial 16S ribosomal RNA". It matches the Rfam family "Bacterial small subunit ribosomal RNA", at positions 115 to 334 of the family's 1533-position model. The record is from RNAcentral.
GUAUGGGGAUCUGCCCGAUAGAGGGAGAUAACUACUGGAAACGGUGGCUAAUACCGCAUAAUGUCUACGGACCAAAGCAGGGGCUCUUCGGACCUUGCACUAUCGGAUGAACCCAUAUGGGAUUAGCUAGUAGGUGGGGUAAAGGCUCACCUAGGCGACGAUCUCUAGCUGGUCUGAGAGGAUGAUCAGCCACACUGGGACUGAGACACGGCCCAG